GAUGAACGCUGGCGGCGUGCCUAAUACAUGCAAGUCGAGCGGACAGACGAUGAGCUUGCUCCUCUGACGUUAGCGGCGUGCGUGUGAGUAACACGUCGUUAACCUACCUAUGGGACUGGGAUAACUUCCGGAUGCCGGAACUAAUACCGGAUAAUAUAUUGAUCCUCAUGGUUCAAUAGUUUAUUUCGGUUUUGCUGUCACUUAUAGCUUGUUCCGCGCCGCAUUAGCUAGUUGGUAAGGUAACGGCUUACGAAGGCAACGAUGCGUAGCCGACCUGAGAGGGUGAUCGGCCACACUGGAACUGAGACACGGUCCAGACUCCUACGGGAGGCAGCAGUAGGGAAUCUUCCGCAAUGGGCGAAAGCCUGACGGAGCAACGCCGCGUGAGUGAUGAAGGUCUUCGGAUCGUAAAACUCUGUUAUUAGGGAAGAACAAAUGUGUAAGUAACUAUGCACGUCUUGACGGUACCUAAUCAGAAAGCCACGGCUAACUACGUG
RNAcentral lists this ribosomal RNA (497 nucleotides) under uncultured bacterium. Its description in RNAcentral is "partial 16S ribosomal RNA". It matches the Rfam family "Bacterial small subunit ribosomal RNA", at positions 28 to 507 of the family's 1533-position model. The record is from RNAcentral.